UUAGAAGUAAUAGUAUAAUAUAAAAAAUAUAAAAAGUAAAUAGUAAUUAUUCCAUUUAAGUAUUUAUAAUUCAAAUAAUAAUAGAGGACUACUAAUUAUUUAAUUAAUGAUUACAUAAUUAUUCAUGUAAUAUUGAGUGAUUAUAUCUAUCGCUACUGAACUAAAUAACUGACCCAUGGUAAAUUGAUGUUCGUUGUAGGGGCUCCUUUUCCCUAUAAAGAUUAUUCAUCAGAGACACCUUCCACACAACCUCUUUUGCUCUCUUUGCUCAGCUAGCAACAUAAUCGAUCAGGACGUAAUGGCUCUUUCUAAGGCAUCAAUCCUCUUUGUUACAAUCUUGCUAGUGAUGUCCUCUCAUCAAGUGUUCUCUGCGGAAAAAACUGAAUUCCCAGAAACUAAUAAGCUAGUUACAGGAAGGAAAUUAGCUCAAACCACAUAUGGUCCUCCCGGUGGAUAUGGAGGAUAUCCAGGAGGAGGAGGAGGAUGCUACCGACCGCAAUGUAAUUAAGGGUGCAAUAUAUAGGAACGGUAAUAGGGAAAAGUUAUAUCUAGAAAGCAAAUAAAUGGGUGGCAUAUGGUAUGUAUAUACAUCAUGCCAAUCCUGUGCUGCUGUUUCUGUUUAUUCGACGACUGGAGUCCUAAGACUGUAAGAGCAUAUGUUUAGUAUGUGUAAUUGAACGCUGUCUGCAGAUGCCAAGUCAUAUGCUUCGAGUCGCAGCGAUGCAAGUUGUUGUUGGUUAUUUUUAUUACUUUCUGGUCUGGUUCAUUCCAUAUAUAUAUGUGCGUGUAUAUGUAUAUAAUAUGAUGUUCGAUUCUCCUUUAUAUUAGGAUGAAGUAUGUAAUAAUACCAUGUUUUAAGUUGCUGAUUAUGUCAGUAUCAUUUGGAUCC
Molecule: long non-coding RNA, 889 nt
Organism: Ricinus communis (castor bean)
Lineage: Eukaryota; Viridiplantae; Streptophyta; Magnoliopsida; Malpighiales; Euphorbiaceae
Exons: 2
Source: RefSeq, a predicted model, not a curated record